RNAcentral lists this long non-coding RNA (201 nucleotides) under Ananas comosus (pineapple). RNAcentral's name for it is "long non-coding RNA (ACOM_LNC016944)". The record is from RNAcentral. Lineage: Eukaryota; Viridiplantae; Streptophyta; Magnoliopsida; Poales; Bromeliaceae.
GAGAUCGGCGGAGUCGGCGGCCGAACCCAUUGGGAACUAUGGAAGAUAGUUCUCACCCCACUUCAUUAAAGGGCUGAGUGCGGGCGCGCCGAGCGAGGAUCGCGGCAAAGGCAUAGCGCCCGAGCAGUAGAUAGUCAGCUUUCCUUUUAUGCAUUAGAGUACCAUUUUGUAUCUAGAUGCUUUAUAUUUUGGGAGAGCCAC